UGAGGAACAUGACCUUCGGCGGGGGAUAGCCGGCCCAACGGCCGGGUAAUACCGCGUACGACCACAUGGGGACAUCCCUGAGUGGUGAAAGCAGCAAUGCGCCGAUGGAGUGCCUCGCGGCCUAUCAGCUAGUUGGUGAGGUAACGGCUCACCAAGGCGACGACGGGUAACUGGUCUGAGAGAAUGGCCAGCCACAUUGGGACUGAGACACGGCCCAGACUCCUAGGGACGG
This 232-nucleotide ribosomal RNA is filed under the name uncultured bacterium. Its description in RNAcentral is "partial 16S ribosomal RNA". It matches the Rfam family "Bacterial small subunit ribosomal RNA", at positions 118 to 348 of the family's 1533-position model. The record is from RNAcentral.